UACGGGAGUGGCAAGCGUUAUCCGGAAUUAUUGGGCGUAAAGCGUCCGCAGGCGGUCUGUCAAGUCUGCUGUUAAAGCGUGGAGCUUAACUCCAUUUCGGCAGUGGAAACUGGCAGACUAGAGUGUGGUAGGGGCAGAGGGAAUUCCCGGUGUAGCGGUGAAAUGCGUAGAUAUCGGGAAGAACACCAGUGGCGAAGGCGCUCUGCUGGGCCAUAACUGACGCUCAUGGACGAAAGCCAGGGGAGCGAAAGGGAUUAGAUACCCCUGUAGUCCUGGCCGUAAACGAUGAACACUAGGUGUCGGGGGAAUCGACCCCCUCGGUGUCGUAGCCAACGCGUUAAGUGUUCCGCCUGGGGAGUACGCACGCAAGUGUGAAACUCAAAGGAAUUGACGGGGGCCCGCACAAGCGGUGGAGUAUGUGGUUUAAUUCGAUGCAACGCGAAGAACCUUACCAGGGUUUGACAUCCUGCGAAUCUCUUGGAAACGAGAGAGUGCCUUCGGGAACGCAGUGACAGGUGGUGCAUGGCUGUCGUCAGCUCGUGUCGUGAGAUGUUGGGUUAAGUCCCGCAACGAGCGCAACCCACGUCGUUAGUUGCCAGCAUUUAGUUGGGCACUCUAGCGAGACCGCCGGUGAUAAACCGGAGGAAGGUGUGGAUGACGUCAAGUCAUCAUGCCCCUUACAUCCUGGGCUACACACGUACUACAAUGCUACGGACAAAGGGCAGCAAACUCGCGAGAGCUAGCAAAUCCCAUAAACCGUGGCUCAGUUCAGAUCGUAGGCUGCAACUCGCCUACGUGAAGGAGGAAUCGCUAGUAAUCGCAGGUCAGCAUACUGCGGUGAAUACGUUCCCGGGCCU
This 857-nucleotide ribosomal RNA is filed under the name uncultured bacterium. Its description in RNAcentral is "SSU rRNA". It matches the Rfam family "Bacterial small subunit ribosomal RNA", at positions 524 to 1381 of the family's 1533-position model. The record is from RNAcentral.